RNAcentral lists this ribosomal RNA (488 nucleotides) under uncultured soil bacterium. RNAcentral's name for it is "bacterial SSU rRNA". It matches the Rfam family "Bacterial small subunit ribosomal RNA", at positions 26 to 513 of the family's 1533-position model. The record is from RNAcentral.
AGAUUGAACGCUGGCGGCAUGCCUAACACAUGCAAGUCGAACGGGAGUAGCAAUACUCUAGUGGCGGACGGGUGAGGAAUACGUAGGAAUUUGCCCUUAAGUGGGGGAUAACCCGGGGAAACCCGGAUUAAUACCGCAUGACCUCGAAAGAGCAAAGUGGGGGAUCGCAAGACCUCACGCUUUUGGAGAAGCCUACGUCGGAUUAGCUAGUUGGUGAGGUAAUGGCUCACCAAGGCGACGAUCCGUAACUGGUCUGAGAGGAUGAUCAGUCACACCGGAACUGAGACACGGUCCGGACUCCUACGGGAGCAGCAGUGGGAAUAUUGGACAAUGGGCGCAAGCCUGAUCCAGCAAUGCCGCGUGUGUGAAGAAGGCCUUCGGUUGUAAAGCUACGUUUAAGGUUAGGGAAAGAAAAACUCGACGUCUAACACAGUGAGUCUUGACGGUACCGACAGAAUAACGACACCGGACUAACUCUGUCGCCAGCA